RNAcentral lists this unclassified non-coding RNA (385 nucleotides) under soil metagenome. RNAcentral describes it as "partial contains 5.8S ribosomal RNA, internal transcribed spacer 2, and large subunit ribosomal RNA". The stretch from base 1 to 120 matches the Rfam family "5.8S ribosomal RNA", at positions 35 to 154 of the family's 154-position model. The record is from RNAcentral.
GAUGAAGAACGCAGCGAAAUGCGAUAAGUAAUGUGAAUUGCAGAAUUCAGUGAAUCAUCGAAUCUUUGAACGCAUAUUGCGCCCUCUGGCACUCCAGAGGGCAUGUCCGACCGAGCGCCACUGCCCGCGCUCGGGGUGACCCCUUUCCUCUUUCGAGGCGGGGGUCUCCCCGGUGUUGGGGCGUGCGCCGCGAUUGCCGCGGUGCUGCCCCGAAAUGCAGUGGCGGCCGCACCCCGCGGACCUCCUGGCGCAGUAGCUAAACAUUCUGUCGUCAAGCGAGUCCCGAGGAGGGCCUGCUCCCAAGAACCCCCUGAAUUCCAGCACUGGUUGGCCUCGGGUCGGACAAGAUUACCCGCUGAACUUAAGCAUAUCAAUAAGCGGAGGA